Molecule: ribosomal RNA, 484 nt
Filed under: uncultured bacterium
Lineage: Bacteria
Description: partial 16S ribosomal RNA
Rfam family: Bacterial small subunit ribosomal RNA
Source: RNAcentral
AUUGAACGCUGGCGGCAGGCCUAACACAUGCAAGUCGAGCGGAUGAAGGGAGCUUGCUCCUGGAUUCAGCGGCGGACGGGUGAGUAAUGCCUAGGAAUCUGCCUGGUAGUGGGGGAUAACGUCCGGAAACGGGCGCUAAUACCGCAUACGUCCUGAGGGAGAAAGUGGGGGAUCUUCGGACCUCACGCUAUCAGAUGAGCCUAGGUCGGAUUAGCUAGUUGGUGGGGUAAAGGCCUACCAAGGCGACGAUCCGUAACUGGUCUGAGAGGAUGAUCAGUCACAAUGGAACUGAGACACGGUCCAGACUCCUAAGGGAGGCAGCAGUGGGGAAUAUUGGACAAUGGGCGAAAGCCUGAUCCAGCCAUGCCGCGUGUGUGAAGAAGGUCUUCGGAUUGUAAAGCACUUUAAGUUGGGAGGAAGGGCAGUAAGUUAAUACCUUGCUGUUUUGACGUUACCAACAGAAUAAGCACCGGCUAACUUCGUG